This is a long non-coding RNA of Xiphophorus maculatus (southern platyfish), 731 nucleotides long. RefSeq lists it as uncharacterized. The record is from RefSeq and is a predicted model, not a curated record. The transcript has 2 exons. NCBI's taxonomy places the organism in Eukaryota, Metazoa, Chordata, Actinopteri, Cyprinodontiformes, Poeciliidae.
AGGUCUGGGGUUCGAGGCGCCAGGCUCCGUCCGUCUCUCUCAAAGGGGCCAGAACCAGAUCCAGAACCGAACCAUCAGAGCUGAUCAGGAACACAGAACCGAUCAUCUGCAGCUGCCUGGACUGCAGACCAGAACAUUCUGAAGAACCCAACAGAACCCUUCCGGAUCAGAACCAACCCAUCCAUUCUGAGCUCAGAUUCAGCUGCCAUCAACCAAUCAGAACUCCCCAUGGACCUCCUCGCCUGUGAUGUCGUCAACCUGCUCAGACAGCAGUCUCUCAGGUGGAUCUCGUUCCACAGGGCUAAACUUCAGAGUUCUGUCAGAACCAUUGACCUCUGACUGGACCCACAUUAGUUCUGGUUCCUGUUGUGGCUCCUUGAGCAGGUCUCAGCAUGUUUCCGUCAGCACUCCCAGUUUACCUGACGUCUCCAUGGUAACGGCACUUCGCCCUGCUCAGGUGAGUGUAAUCAUCAGAGUGAGUCACUGUUUUCACUUGUUCUGCCGGCGAAACAAAGAGUCACUUCAGAGUCACGCCGGAGCCGGGUCCAGGUUCUGGUACUGAACAGAGCAGUACAGACAGGACAUGGGGAAGACGGCGUCAGGGAUGGAUGGUCAUCGUUGCCAUGGUGACAAUGAUAAACUACAGCCUGAUGCCUGCAAAGACCAAAACCUGAGGAGGUUUAAUUUCACUACUGUGGUUCAGCAAUAAAUACGAAUCUAUUUAAAGAAUA